GACGGAGCAACGCCGCGUGAGGGAUGAAGGCCUCUGGGCUGUAAACCUCUUUUCUCAAGGAAGAAGAACUGACGGUACUUGAGGAAUAAGCCACGGCUAAUUCCGUGCCAGCAGCCGCGGUAAUACGGGAGUGGCAAGCGUUAUCCGGAAUUAUUGGGCGUAAAGCGUCCGCAGGUGGCCCUGUAAGUCUGUCGUUAAAGCGUGGAGCUUAACUCCAUUUAAGCGAUGGAAACUACAGGGCUAGAGUGUGGUAGGGGCAGAGGGAAUUCCCGGUGUAGCGGUGAAAUGCGUAGAUAUCGGGAAGAACACCAGUGGCGAAGGCGCUCUGCUGGGCCAUCACUGACACUCAUGGACGAAAGCCAGGGGAGCGAAAGGGAUUAGAUACCCCUGUAGUCCUGGCCGUAAACGAUGAACACUAGGUGUCGGGGGAAUCGACCCCCUCGGUGUCGUAGCCAACGCGUUAAGUGUUCCGCCUGGGGAGUACGCACGCAAGUGUGAAACUCAAAGGAAUUGACGGGGGCCCGCACAAGCGGUGGAGUAUGUGGUUUAAUUCGAUGCAACGCGAAGAACCUUACCAGGGUUUGACAUCCUGCGAAUCCCUUGGAAACGAGGGAGUGCCUUCGGGAGCGCAGAGACAGGUGGUGCAUGGCUGUCGUCAGCUCGUGUCGUGAGAUGUUGGGUUAAGUCCCGCAACGAGCGCAACCCACGUCGUUAGUUGCCAGCAUUCAGUUGGGCACUCUAGCGAGACCGCCGGUGAUAAACCGGAGGAAGGUGUGGAUGACGUCAAGUCAUCAUGCCCCUUACAUCCUGGGCUACACACGUACUACAAUGCUACGGACAAAGGGCAGCAAGCUCGCGAGAGUUAGCAAAUCCCAUAAACCGUGGCUCAGUUCAGAUCGUAGGCUGCAACUCGCCUACGUGAAGGAGGAAUCGCUAGUAAUCGCAGGUCAGCAUACUGC
Molecule: ribosomal RNA, 959 nt
Filed under: uncultured cyanobacterium
Lineage: Bacteria; Bacillati; Cyanobacteriota
Description: bacterial SSU rRNA
Rfam family: Bacterial small subunit ribosomal RNA
Source: RNAcentral